UACAUGUAAACGCUUAGUUGUGUAUAAGGAAGUCGCAACUAAAGUAACAGUCAGAAUGAUCAAAGGGGUGCUUGAAAUUACAGUUGUUAUUGGCUUAGGACUUGCAGUUGCUCGUUUGAUACAUGCAACCUUACCAAAAAAAAGAAG
Long non-coding RNA from Mytilus californianus (California mussel), 147 nucleotides. RefSeq lists it as uncharacterized. The transcript has 2 exons. The record is from RefSeq and is a predicted model, not a curated record. Lineage: Eukaryota; Metazoa; Mollusca; Bivalvia; Mytilida; Mytilidae.